Molecule: long non-coding RNA, 625 nt
Organism: Dreissena polymorpha
Lineage: Eukaryota; Metazoa; Mollusca; Bivalvia; Myida; Dreissenidae
Exons: 3
Source: RefSeq, a predicted model, not a curated record
ACCAGCAGACUCGCCACUCAUGAUGACUCGGCAUAGGAGGAUGAGAAGGUGGAGGAUGAGGAGGAGGAGGAAGAGGACUUUUCGUUCCUAACGCGGAAAUACUGCCUGAGCCUGGAACCCAAUGCAAGGGUGAUGCAUGGUCGGAGAAGCUGCAAUUUCAAUCGUUGACUCAUAUGUAGACUACAUGUUCCUGCUGAACAGGCCAGGUGGGUUGGCAAACGAGUCGAAAACACAAGAGGUCAACAUGAAGAUCAACCGGUUCCUGGCCCUGUCUGGCUACUUGGAAGGAGCGGUGUUGAGUGACGUGCUGUUGUGGAAGGGCCAUAUGGAGGUCCAGGACAGUUCUUCAACACCACUCACCAGCUGAAGACGGUGCAGACUGCACUAACGGCUAUUAAGAACUUCCUGAAGUGGUGCGAGGGAAUGGUCUAGCGGACGCCCGCGCAUUGAACAAUGCCGAUCUCCUUCUCACAGGCUGCCUGACCUCAACCCGCCUGGAUAUGAGCCGUCGCGAGGUUGUUCGGAGGGUAGAGGAGAGUGCGGCCAUCCUGACGGACGCAAACCUUGAGCGCCACUUCACUGAGAGUGAGCAUGUAGUGAAAACGAUCACUGUGAUCCAGGAGAC